CCCAAUGGCUCGUUUCAAACCGAGCUUUCGACCGCGACCCCAGGUCAGACGGGAUUACCCGCUGAGUUUAAGCAUAUCAAUA
Molecule: ribosomal RNA, 82 nt
Filed under: Euphrasia maximowiczii
Lineage: Eukaryota; Viridiplantae; Streptophyta; Magnoliopsida; Lamiales; Orobanchaceae
Description: partial 26S ribosomal RNA
Source: RNAcentral